This is a non-coding RNA of Sarcophilus harrisii (Tasmanian devil), 1007 nucleotides long. NCBI's taxonomy places the organism in Eukaryota, Metazoa, Chordata, Mammalia, Dasyuromorphia, Dasyuridae. The record is from the annotation of a RefSeq genome assembly.
UUUUCUCUAAACGUUGAGGACUGAGAGGGAGAUAAAGUAAGAGUCUAUCUAUUCAAUCUCAAAAUCAAAAAGAAGGAUAUUUUCCUAAAAUUAGAAACAUCGAGAAUAAAGUCUGCCUUCUGUAUGCUGGUAGAAAAGAAUUUGGAAGAGAAGGAUCAGGGAGGGAAGUGCUAUUUCUCUGCAUCUGCUUCCCAACCACUGGACCAGCCAUGAUCUCUAUUCCUAUCUUGGUGAUUAGAAUUCUGUUACUUUUUGGGGGCACUUAUGGAGAUUCAGUGACUCAGACAGAAGGACCCAUUACUCUCUCUGAGGGAACAUCACUCACACUGAACUGCUCUUAUCAGACCAGUGGGGCACCUUAUCUCUUUUGGUAUGUCCAGUAUCCCAAAGGAAAUCUGAAGCUCCUUCUGAGAGAGACAUCAGGGAAAGACCAGGAGGAAGACAAGAAUGGAUUUGGGGCCAGAAAGAUUAAGGAAAAAUCUUUAUUCUACCUGGAGAAAGCCUCAGUCCAGAUGGGAGAUUCUGCUGUCUACUAUUGUGUUCUCAGUGGCACAGUGAUGAAGACUAUAGAGGGAGCUGAACACAAAUUCUGUGAAAUACAGGAGACAUCCUGUGACUGACUACCAUUGACUAGAGUUUUAUUCUCUACUCCAAAAAUACAAGCUUUGGGGACACAUCUUGAAUAAAGGGGUAAAUUCUACUGUCCUACAAGCCCUCGUUGAAACUAGAUGUCUGUGGAAUAUCCUAAGCCUCAUUUUCUGCUCUCAAUCAUGGGGAUUUCUUUUUCUCUGGUCUUGGAUAUUCUUAUUUAGGAAUUAUUUAUAAGAAGUUUACGGUGUUUCUUCCAUAAAGGGAAGAACUUGAAUUUGAAGUUGCAAUUAUCAUGGAAAGAAGUUAUUAAUUAUGAAUAGAGCAAUAACAGAAGGAACUUAAACUCCUAGUCUAUUAGAAGAGGCAAUAUGUAGGCAAUUACUAUGUGUUAGGCACUAUGCCAGGAAGCAGGGGCA